Thamnophis sirtalis is the source of this 503-nucleotide non-coding RNA. NCBI's taxonomy places the organism in Eukaryota, Metazoa, Chordata, Lepidosauria, Squamata, Natricidae. The record is from RefSeq and is a predicted model, not a curated record.
GAAGGAAGGAUGUUUUGAAAUUUGCAGCAUGAUCCAAAUUGGGACGCUUGGCAACCGAUUCAUGCUUAUGACGGUUGCAGUGACCCAGGGUUACAUGAUUCCCCUUUUCCGACCUUCCGACAGGCCAAGUGUACGGGGGAAGCCAGAGUCACUAGCUUAUCGUCAACUGCACUGAUUCGCUGGAAGACCGUGGCCAGAAAGAGCUCAACACAAGAGAUCGGAGAAGAGUUUGAAGAUAGCGUGAUUUACAGUAUUUCUCUCCGGAAAGUUCAGCUCCAUCACGCGGCCAACAAAGGCCAGCGAUGGCUGGGGUUUGAGAACGAGUCAGCCUUAAACCUCUACGAGACGUGCAAAGUGCGGACGAUCAAAGCCGGCACCCUGGAGAAGCUGGUGGAAUACCUGGUCUCGGCCUUCAAAGGCAACGAUUCCACCUACGUGACCAUCUUCCUCUGCACCUACCGGGCCUUCGCCACCACCAAGCAGGUCCUGGAUCUUCUACUCAA